This is a long non-coding RNA of Odontomachus brunneus, 1001 nucleotides long. RefSeq lists it as uncharacterized. The transcript is spliced from 2 exons. The record is from RefSeq and is a predicted model, not a curated record. NCBI's taxonomy places the organism in Eukaryota, Metazoa, Arthropoda, Insecta, Hymenoptera, Formicidae.
CCUGUGUGACAGACCCACGUUCCGCUCGCCUGCCUAAACGCCCCCGAUCUCUUCUUUCCGCUAACGUGUGAACGCCGUGACGCUUGCUCGUCGCACGGUAGCACGCCGCUGACGACGGGAGUAUCACGAUGACGGCGAUUGUGCACCUGUGAUGCUCGCUAUUGUCGCCAAAGCUGCGCGGCGACGUGAAAUUUUUGGCCACCUCGAGAGAGACGCACGACAUAACAGACGCGCUCAACUUAACGUGCGCAUGCGUAUCCCGCACUAUGUUUAGUGAGCUGCCGCGAGAGGGGAUUUCUCAACCUUGGCAAAGGUUUUCCGUCUCGUUUCGUCCCAUAUUCGGUGUCUCGCUCCGACAUGUGUUGUAAUCGAUGCGUGGGUCAGCCGACCAGCGUCUUGUUUGCGGUCGAGGACUACAGCUCGUUUCAUCGUGCAGCUGCUUUUUCUACACGCUGAUUGAGAAUUAAGGAACUUUCGACAGAAGUGUGUCGUUGGUAGAAUAUAAUGCCGCCGCAAAACUCUGGUUUUGCGGUGACCCACGUUCACAACGCGUGGCAACUGUAUCAACAAGAUCGAAAAUCGAUUAUGCGAUUAUGGGCUAUUCCAAAAUUAAGAGUGUAGUGUUCAUCAUCACUAUCAUCAUCGUCACUCGUGCUGGACAUUAUUGAUGCCUGUUGCCACAUUCGUGGUAGAAAUAAUUCUAAAAGCUGAUAUGCAUGUUAAGUAACGCAAUGGAGAAUUACGCAAGUGUUCUCAAACAUUGCAUAAGUUGUUACAUUAUUAACUUAUACCUAAGCUGUUACAUCAUUAAUGUGACGUCAUCGAUACAGUAAUGAGUAAAUCGCUUGCCACGAAACUGAGCGUUUAAAUAUCUCGAAAUGAGAUGCAUACUAUAUGAACGAACACUUAGAACGAAUUCGUUACAUAAAAUUCAUGAAAUAUGUAACAGCAUUUAUAUAUUUAUAAAGUUUUUUUAUAAAGUUACACAUAGAUAAUUGCGA